Long non-coding RNA from Peromyscus californicus insignis, 514 nucleotides. RefSeq lists it as uncharacterized. NCBI's taxonomy places the organism in Eukaryota, Metazoa, Chordata, Mammalia, Rodentia, Cricetidae. The transcript is spliced from 2 exons. The record is from RefSeq and is a predicted model, not a curated record.
CUACUCCAGGUUGCUUUUGACCAAAGCCGUAAUUUAAAAACAAACAACAAUAAGAAAAAAGAGUCAGUAAACAGGGCUGCUGGAUUUUUUUUUUUUUGCUUUCACUUCAAGCUCCUUAUGUCAGAAGCCAGCACAGGAAGGGUUAACCAUUAAUCUUCAGUUACAUAAAACGUGCAUUGUAGAUAUCUUCACUUAAUGGUGUCUAUGGAGACAAACUUCCCAAGACAGCGUUUUUUUCUUCUUUUAGAUAAAGGAAUGCAGCUUUAAUGGAAUUUCAAGUGCUUUCGUGUUUUACUUGCAACAUCUGAUGCUAUGAAAAGCCCAGGAACAAAGGACUGCCUCGCCUGGAAUACUGCCCCGGGAUCACUGAGAGGAAGAGGCAAGCCUUCCCACUGAUGCCACAGAGGAAAAUGGAGUUAAAGUGUGCAACAUGUCAGGCCAGAGUCAGAGAUCUAAAUAACCGCUCACCUGUUCAUUUCCUGUAUUAACCACAGUAAACAAACUAUAGAUUGAC